UUUUCAAAUUGUAACUUUUCUCUUUCUUUGUUACUUACUUAUGUGGUAACUCCACGUUUGUGUAAUAAUUCAGACACGUUCACGGUAAUAAUUCUUACAAGAUAAAAAUAUACAGAAUAUGCAGAGUAAAGUACUCAAUGAUAAUAUCUCGUAGCUAAAACUGAUCUCUAUUUAAGUUCUAUCUUUUAUUCCCUCCAAUAUUAGACGCAUGCAAAAGUUUCAAGCCCUUUUAUCAAUUUUACAUUUUCAACUACAUCACUUUCAAUACAUUACAAAUUGAUGUUCGAAACACUUGGUACGAUUUCCUGUCAACUUUCAAAUUUCGUCGCGAAGAAAUCACACAAAACACUUUCGUAUUUCUGUAAUAUUUCGAAAGUGUUGUCUGACUAAAGAGAGCUAAAUACAUCGAACUUCUCAGCCCGAGUUAAAGAUAGUGAUUCAAGUCACAUGCGGCUUAGGCGUUGUGGUCGUUGCUCAUUGUGCUCAUUGUGGUUUUGUGAAGCGGUCGCAAAUCGAUCACAAAGUUGGCGUUUCAGACAAAUCGAUACCAACCAAACAAUUGCGCAAAAAGCAAGCUAGAACGACGUUCGUUGACGGGAUAAACCAGAGAAUUACUGCUAUCAGCUAUAGGAGUACCAUGAUGUAUACCAGAUUAGAUGUCCAUUUCGUAUAGGCAAUUAGAUAGUAAUUGCAUGCAGCAGGCUUCACUGUACCGCAGAUGAUACCAACAACAGGAGGAACAAGAGCCACUUGUUUCAAUUAUGAAGAAAUAUUACUUAAUUUCCUGCCGCUAUUCCCUAUAUAAGAUAUUAUUUCACUAUAUAGAAUAUUAUCUCAGGAUCAUUGUAUAUAGGAUCACUGUAUAUUAUUAUCAGGAUUUAGUAGCUUGUUAUCAUUUUUCGUCGUUAUUACCUCGAUAGUCAUCUUCCAGAAACGCUUAUGGUAAUCUUCAGUCCAAUAAAUUCUGCAUUCGCUCGGCCAAUCUGAUUCGAGUCGAAAGAGAUUUCCGGUUAAAAUUCAAAGUAAAAUUUGUUCGUGAUAUAUUCUUGACCGAGUUUCUCAAUAGGUUUAUCUACAAAAAUUACUUGAACAAGUAUCUAAAAGUAAAAUUUCAAUGCGUAAAUGGUAUAUAUUUAGCAUUGUAAUUAGCAAGCAUAAAAUCGAUAUAUUACGCGAAAUAAAAUGACAAAUCAACUAUAUUUCAGUCAUUAUGUCGUGUUACACGUACGUCACGCGCGUUAGUUGUCGUUUAUAGGUUGCACGAUGCUUUACUAAUAUUUAGACUGUAGAUUUCACUUGUAUAAAUGAACGUAAUAACCGUUGACAUGGAAUUAUUGAUCGCGUUGACUGAAAUAAUGAAUUAAACGUUGAUUUCAGUUUA
This is an RNA transcript of Bombus impatiens (common eastern bumble bee), 1381 nucleotides long. RefSeq lists it as uncharacterized. The transcript is spliced from 2 exons. The record is from RefSeq and is a predicted model, not a curated record. Lineage: Eukaryota; Metazoa; Arthropoda; Insecta; Hymenoptera; Apidae.